This 492-nucleotide ribosomal RNA is filed under the name uncultured bacterium. RNAcentral describes it as "partial 16S ribosomal RNA". It matches the Rfam family "Bacterial small subunit ribosomal RNA", at positions 29 to 507 of the family's 1533-position model. The record is from RNAcentral.
AGUGAACGCUGGCGGUAGGCCUAACACAUGCAAGUCGAACGGCAGCACAGUAAGAGCUUGCUCUUACGGGUGGCGAGUGGCGGACGGGUGAGGAAUACAUCGGAAUCUACUUUUUCGUGGGGGACAACGUAGGGAAACUUACGCUAACACCGCAUACGACCUACGGGUGAAAGCAGGGGAUCUUCGGACCUUGCGCGAUUGAAUGAGCCGAUGUCGGAUUAGCUAGUUGGCGGGGUAAAGGCCCACCAAGGCGACGAUCCGUAGCUGGUCUGAGAGGAUGAUCAGCCACACUGGAACUGAGACACGGUCCAGACUCCUACGGGAGGCAGCAGUGGGGAAUAUUGGACAAUGGGCGCAAGCCUGAUCCAGCCAUACCGCGUGGGUGAAGAAGGCCUUCGGAUUGUAAAGCCCUUUUAUUGGGAAAGAAAAGCAGCAGGUUAAUACCCCGCUGUUCUGACGGUACCCAAAGAAUAAGCACCGGCUAACUUCGUG